AAUCAACGCUGGCGGCGUGCCUCAGACAUGCAAGUCGAACGCGAAAGUUCCCUUCGGGGGAUAAGUAGAGUGGCGUCCGGGUGAGUAACACGUAGGUAAUCUACCUUUGGGUGGGGAAUAACAACCGGAAACGGUUGCUAAUACCGCAUAAUGCAGCGGCACCACAUGGUGACAGUUGUUAAAGCGGGGGAUCGCAAGACCUCGCGCCUAAAGAGGAGCCUGCGGCGGAUUAGCUAGUUGGAGGGUAACGGCCUACCAAGGCAACGAUCCGUAGCCGGCCUGAGAGGGCGGUCGGCCACACUGACACUGAAAUACGGGUCAGACUCCUACGGGAGGCAGCAGUCGGGAAUUUUGGGCAAUGGGCGAAAGCCUGACCCAGCAACGCCGCGUGAAGGAUGAAAUCCCUCGGGAUGUAAACUUCGCAAGAACAGGAAGAAUAAGUAGGGGACAACUACCCCCUAUGAUGACGGUACUGUUGUAAGCUCGGCUAACUCGUGCCAGCCGCCGCAGUAA
This 513-nucleotide ribosomal RNA is filed under the name uncultured bacterium. RNAcentral describes it as "bacterial SSU rRNA". It matches the Rfam family "Bacterial small subunit ribosomal RNA", at positions 32 to 523 of the family's 1533-position model. The record is from RNAcentral.